ACCUAAGGCGAGGGCCCUUUCAUCGCUGCUUGCAGCUUUAUAUUAUAUUAUAUUAUAUUAUAUUAUAUUAUAUUAUAUUAUAUUAUAAAGUGCCUAAUUCUUUUUGAAGACUGAAAAUUGACUUUAUUUUAUUUUAUUUUUCCCUGUGUGACUUUUUCCAGUGCAGAGAUGACAUACUUCCAUACUUCCAGUCAAACGCCUGUCAUUGAUCAUUGAGAUGAACGGGAAUGCUACCAGACAGCUCUUUCCAGAAUAAAGAAAGUCAUACAGGUUUUCCAACUACUUCAAGCACCCAGUUUCCUGAAGAGCAGGAAGGGAGAGCGACCUGAUGCUGUUCAUUAAUAAUUCACUGCAGGCAGCCUCUGACUCCCGCAUGGCUCUGUUCAGAUUACAGCUCGCAGCCAGGACUCAAGAUUUUCCCUCUGAAAUCACCUCCAUCCUAUACUGGAUGUGACAGAACUGCAUGUGCAUGUUAUGCACAGAAUUCAAAGUAUGCACUUGUAAGUACUUGAAAC
Long non-coding RNA from Megalobrama amblycephala (Wuchang bream), 515 nucleotides. RefSeq lists it as uncharacterized. The record is from RefSeq and is a predicted model, not a curated record. NCBI's taxonomy places the organism in Eukaryota, Metazoa, Chordata, Actinopteri, Cypriniformes, Xenocyprididae. The transcript is spliced from 4 exons.